RNAcentral lists this ribosomal RNA (469 nucleotides) under uncultured bacterium. RNAcentral describes it as "partial 16S ribosomal RNA". It matches the Rfam family "Bacterial small subunit ribosomal RNA", at positions 28 to 507 of the family's 1533-position model. The record is from RNAcentral.
GACGAACGCUGGCGGCGUGCUUAACACAUGCAAGUCGAACGGAAAGGCCCUACCUUGCUUGGGUACUCGAGUGGCGAACGGGUGAGUAACACGUGGGUAACCUGCCCUUCACUUUGGGAUAAGUUCAGGAAACUGGGGCUAAUACCGGAUAGGAGCACCUGCUGCAUGGUGUGGGUGAAAGAGUUUUCGCGGUGGGGGGUGGGCGCGCCGCCUAUCCGCUUGGUGGGGGGGGAGUGGCCUAACAACGCGUAGGCGGGUCGGCCGGCUGAGGGGGUGGACGGGCACAAUUGGGCUGGAGUACGGGCCAGACUCCUACGGGGGGGAGGAGUGGGGAAUAUUUCACAAUGGGGGGGAGCCUGAUGCAAGGACGCCGGGUGGGGGGUGGCGGGCUUCGGGUUGUAAACCCCUUUCGCUAGGGGCGGAACGGUGUGUGACGGUAACUGGAAAAGAAGCACCGGCUAACUACGUG